GACGAACGCUGGCGGCGUGCUUAACACAUGCAAGUCGAACGGUAAGGCCCUUCGGGGUACACGAGUGGCGAACGGGUGAGCAACACGUGGGUGAUCUGCCCUGCACUUCGGGAUAAGCCUGGGAAACUGGGUCUAAUACCGGAUAGGACUCCGGACUGCAUGGUCUGGGGUGGAAAGCUUUUGCGGUGUGGGAUGGGCCCGCGGCCUAUCAGCUUGUUGGUGGGGUGAUGGCCUACCAAGGCGACGACGGGUAGCCGGCCUGAGAGGGUGACCGGCCACACUGGGACUGAGAUACGGCCCAGACUCCUACGGGAGGCAGCAGUGGGGAAUAUUGCACAAUGGGCGCAAGACUGAUGCAGCGACGCCGCGUGAGGGAUGACGGCCUUCGGGUUGUAAACCUCUUUCAGCAUCGACGAAGCGAAAGUGACGGUAGGUGCAGAAGAAGGACCGGCCAACUACGUGCCAACCGCCGCAGUAA
RNAcentral lists this ribosomal RNA (478 nucleotides) under uncultured bacterium. Its description in RNAcentral is "partial 16S ribosomal RNA". It matches the Rfam family "Bacterial small subunit ribosomal RNA", at positions 28 to 523 of the family's 1533-position model. The record is from RNAcentral.